UGGGCGAUGAUCUAACACAAAAAAAAAAAGAAGAAUGUUCUUUUAUAUUCAAAACUUAUAAUUAUACUUUUUAUUUAUCAGAAACUUCCUAUCUGCAUCUUCACAAAAUUUCGUACGUUUUCUUUUUUUUUCCUAGGUUUUCUAAAUGAUAUUUGGGAAUGUUCGAAGUUCAUUAAACGAUUACGCGAUCGUACGCGUAUCGUCUCUUACAAAUAUUUUAACAAACGGGAGGAAAGGAAAAGGGGAAAGAGAAAAAAAAAUUAAAAAAAAAAAAAAAAGAAAAAACAAAAGAAGAGAACAGAAAUAUCAUAAAGCGAGUAUCGAUCGAUCUAGCAAAACAAAAAAAAAAGGGUGCAUCAAAUUGUGAGAAUAAAUAUAAUACUUAGAGAUAUAAAAGAGAAAAGAAAGAAGAAAAGGUACCACGCAAGUAAACGAAGGUUGCCAUUUGGACUCAUUAAUGGAAUGAUUUGUCUGAAUGAGACAUUGUUGCGUUCUUAAAGUCUUAUUGCUUGUUUAGGUUAUGUUUGAGAUUCGCCAUUAGAAAAUAUUCGUUUGUUUCGAUUGUCGUCCAAAUUUUUCUGGCAACGGUGACAAUUUUGUUACAAUAUUUGUUUUUCUUCUCUCCACGAAAAUAACAUUUAUUGCACGUUAAAUAAUACACGGAAUAUCGUUAAGUAAACUGAACAAAAAGUUUUCUUUCAUCGAUCAUUGAAAAACAAAACCGACAAGUCCAAAGUAUUCCGUUAAUCGCCAGAAAAGCAUAUACAUAUGAAGAAAGACGCGAACGUUUAGACAAAUUUCACGAGCUUAAUAUCAGUCCUUAAUAAUUUUCAAACGUAUGAAAAGAUUAUAGGACAUUGGUACCGCAUUAGCACCCAUUCUAAGUCCGAAGACAUGAAAUUUGAGAGAGAAAGAAAGAAAGAAAGAUAAAGAGAAGAAGAAGAAGAAGACAAAAAAGUAGUAACGAGAAAUUUACAAUAAUGAGACAGUGACGAUGCCUUGUACUGCUUGAUUAUCGAGUCGAAACGAAGUCAACGAAGUACACACCGAAAUUGGCACCCUGAGCUCUGGAAGUAUUAUACUUUUAAUAUUGGCUAUUCGUGAUUCAGGAUCUUCUGUAAUUCACGUUGAAACUUAACAAUAACACAGAGACAACACACGAUAAAGAUCUCAAACCGCUGUGGAUCGUGUAAAAUCCUGAAGUUACGGAAGCCUCGUCGGUGGUGGAUUGAACGGAACUCAAUGCACAAAC
Molecule: long non-coding RNA, 1252 nt
Organism: Polistes canadensis
Lineage: Eukaryota; Metazoa; Arthropoda; Insecta; Hymenoptera; Vespidae
Exons: 4
Source: RefSeq, a predicted model, not a curated record